UACGGAGGGUGCAAGCGUUAUCCGGAUUCACUGGGUUUAAAGGGUACGUAGGCUGACAUGUAAGUCAGUGGUGAAAUCCCGCGGCUCAACCGUGGAACUGCCAUUGAAACUGCGUGUCUUGGGUACGGUCGAUGCAGGCGGAAUGCAGCAUGUAGCGGUGAAAUGCAUAGAUAUGCUGCGGAACACCGAUAGCGAAGGCAGCUUGCAAGGCCGUCACCGACGCUGAUGUACGAAAGCGUGGGUAGCGAACAGG
This 253-nucleotide ribosomal RNA is filed under the name uncultured bacterium. RNAcentral's name for it is "partial 16S ribosomal RNA". It matches the Rfam family "Bacterial small subunit ribosomal RNA", at positions 524 to 776 of the family's 1533-position model. The record is from RNAcentral.